This 229-nucleotide ribosomal RNA is filed under the name uncultured bacterium. RNAcentral's name for it is "partial 16S ribosomal RNA". It matches the Rfam family "Bacterial small subunit ribosomal RNA", at positions 568 to 796 of the family's 1533-position model. The record is from RNAcentral.
GGCGUAGGCGGCUUUUCAAGUUAGAUGUGAAAUCUCCCGGCUUAACUUGGAGGGUGCAUUUAAUACUGAUGGGCUAGAGUGCAGCAGAGGAAAGUGGAACUCCCGGUGUAGUGGUGGAAUGCGUAGAUAUCGGGAAGAACACUAGUGGCGAAGGCGACUUUCUGGGCUGUUACUGACGCUGAGGCCCGAAGGCGUGGGGAGCGAACAGGAUUAGAUACCCUGGUAGUCC